CGUUUAUAUGUCUUUCUUUGGAAAAGGCCCUUUAAAAAUAGAUAAAGAUAAUUUUGUUAGGCCUCAAGAAUUAUAUUGGUUUUGGUUUGUAAUAAUUAGGCUUUUUGAUUCCUGCAUAUGAUUCAUUUUUAUGUCACAGAAGUAUGUAAUUUUAAAAAUCAAAUCAAUAUUUCAAUCAUGUCCUUAAUUACUAUACUUUUUAAAGUUUUCAAAUUAGAACAUAUAUAAUUAUUAAAAAUCAACUGGAAAGUUUAGAAUUAUAACUUCUAAAGUAAUAAAAUAUUAAAUCUCCCAUCAAUCCUAUUUCUUGCCAACUAAUUCCCCACAGGUAUCAUUGUACAGUGUGUAUCUGUCCUAUUUCUCCAUUUUUAAUAAUAUAUACACACAAUCAAAAUGUUUUACCAAGAUAUACAUCACGCAGGCUGAACUCCUACUUGUUUUGAUAGCUCAGCCAGUCUUCCUUGGUUUACCCUACCCAGGGACAAACAUGACCCUACACCUGUACUCUCUUCCACCUACCACUCUUGGGCCCACUCUUUACCCCUGAUCGCACUCACUAUAUCUUACACCAAUUUCUCCUUCUCAAGAAAUAAAUCUUCUUACCUAUCUACAUAGGUAAAUUAAAAAAUCUUCUUACCUAUCUACAUAUCUUGUAAGUAUUUUAAUUUUCUCAACACUUUUUACUCAUACUUAUGGUUCUUUUCCUUUAAAAAUAUUAAGGAAACUCUGCUUUAACUACCCUCCUCCUUGACCAGAGUGCUACAUCAUCUGCAGAAAUAUUUGAGUUUAUAUACUAAAAACUGAAGAACUGUCUAAGUCAACAAAAUAACAACAUAGUGACUGGGUCGGGGAGGGAGAGGCAACAAGAACUCUCAGGAACAAAUGAGCAUAAUUGCAAACAUACACAUUUUGAAAAGUUGCAUAAUUAAAAUCUUGUAUCGAAUAUCCUAAUUUCCCAGAUUAUUUUAAGUAAAGCAAUUUGGGGCAUUUGAAAAUACAGAGGAAGCAAAAUAAAAAAGCUCUUACGGUGAUGAUUCCAGAACAAUGCUAUUAGCUUGUGUUGAUGACGGAGAUCUCUGAUUUACAAACACUUCGCUUGGGGAAGUAUGAACCAUAUGGUCUACCAAAUGACCAACUGAAGAUGGUCGUAACCGGGUUCCUUCCUGCGUGAAUGUAGAAUUUCGACUAAAUAAAGAGGGAGAAAAACUGAAUAAAAAUAUGCUUCAAUUCAAAAUUUCCAAGUUUCUUAAUAUAUGGUUACAUCAGAAAGGGGGUAUGUGUUUUUAAGUCAAGCCAUGUUGACUAAGCAAUCUCUGAAAAAGACAGUGUGAUAUAAACAGAGGGAACAGAGAAUGGGAAGUCAGUGAUCUGAGUUACAAUCAACAAUCUGCCAAGGAUUCUACCCAUAAAGUUACCUACUAUCUCUAAGUGCCUUCAUGUUUCUAGGUGUUAGUCACUAUGAUUUUGUCUUACUCAGCAUUUAUAAAAUAAAGGGAUUAGAAUAAAUCAUUUAGAAAUAUAUUCUAGUCUGAAUUAUUUUUUAAUUGUUAUAAAUGUUUUUAUUUAUGGGACUUUCUUUGAAGCCUUAGAGUAGAUACUGAAUACUAUAUUGCCAUCCUCUUGACAGUCACACAAAGUAGUGUUAUUACAAUUUUUAAUUACAAUAUUUCAGUAUUUAUGUAUGUGUCAGACAUUUCUCUAAGCAUUUCAUUUAAUCCUCAUAACAGUACUAUAAGAAAGACAUUAUUAUAAAUAUAAUUUUGUAGAUGAGAAAAAUGAGACAGAGAUUAACUUGCCCAAGUUCAAGCAUACAGUGAUUCCAGGGCCCAUGCUCUUAACCACCACCUUGUACUAUCUCUUCAGAAUUUUAAAAAAUCUUUUUAGAUUAUACCUGAAAUUGUUUCAUUAACCAGAAAACUUAAACAGAGCUACUGUUAAUUAGUUACUUGAGUACUUUGGCUUAACUUGCUAUUAUUUUCUAUAACUUGCUAUUAUUGUUUAGUGUUGCUGGUACAAAUGGAGAAAUGGCUGUUUGUGCAAAAGG
RNAcentral lists this long non-coding RNA (2044 nucleotides) under Homo sapiens (human). Its description in RNAcentral is "non-protein coding lnc-TMEM185B-9:1". Lineage: Eukaryota; Metazoa; Chordata; Mammalia; Primates; Hominidae. The record is from RNAcentral.